Molecule: transfer RNA, 316 nt
Filed under: Syzygiella autumnalis
Lineage: Eukaryota; Viridiplantae; Streptophyta; Jungermanniopsida; Jungermanniales; Adelanthaceae
Description: partial tRNA-Leu
Rfam family: Group I catalytic intron (bases 1-237)
About the family: Group I catalytic introns are large self-splicing ribozymes. They catalyse their own excision from mRNA, tRNA and rRNA precursors in a wide range of organisms.
Source: RNAcentral
GAGAAAUUGACUAAGUGAUUGUUUCCAGAUUCGGGGAAACCUAGGUUCGAGAAAAACAUAGUAGGUAAUCCUGAGCCAAAUUUUGUUUACAAAAUAGGUGCAGAGACUCAAAGGAGACUAUCCGAAAAAACUGGAAUAUUUAGAGAUAGAUAUAAAUACCAUUAUUUAAUAAUUUAUUAUUAUAAAUCGUGUCAGAUAAGGAUAAAGAUAGAGUCCAUUUUUACAUGCUACAUUUAGUUAGCAGCGAUGUAAAUCAUUGUAAAAAGAAAAUCCGUUGGCUUUUUAGACCGUGAGGGUUCAAGUCCCUCUACCCCCA